CCUACGGGAGGCAGCAGUAGGGAAUCUUUCACAAUGGGCGAAAGCCUGAUGGAGCAACGCCGCGUGCAGGAUGAAGGCCUUCGGGUUGUAAACUGCUUUUAUAAGCGAGAAAUAUGAUGGUAACUUAUGAAUAAGUAUCGGCUAACUACGUGCCAGCAGCCGCGGUCAUACGUAGGAUCCGAGCAUUAUCCGGAUUGACUGGGUGUAAAGAGUUGCGUAGGUGGCAUAAUAAGUAGCUAGUGAAAUCUGGUGGCUCAACCAUUCAGACUAUUAGCUAAACUGUUAAGCUCGAGACCGUUAGGGGUAACUGGAAUGUCUAGUGUAGGAGUGAAAUCCGUAGAUAUUAGAAGGAACACCAAUAGCGUAGGCAGGUUGCUGGGACGGUUCUGACACUAAGGCACGAAAGCGUAGGGAGCAAACGGGAUUAGAUACCCUUGUAGUC
This 442-nucleotide ribosomal RNA is filed under the name uncultured bacterium. RNAcentral describes it as "partial 16S ribosomal RNA". It matches the Rfam family "Bacterial small subunit ribosomal RNA", at positions 338 to 795 of the family's 1533-position model. The record is from RNAcentral.